Molecule: ribosomal RNA, 1326 nt
Filed under: metagenome
Description: bacterial LSU rRNA
Rfam family: Bacterial large subunit ribosomal RNA
Source: RNAcentral
AGUGGAUGGGGAGCAACCUAGUUGUGCGUGUGUAAAGGUAGUGCCAAGAAAAGCGGUGAUCAUGAUGAAAAUCAAUUCCCGGUACCCGAAACCGACACAGGUGGGCAAGUAGAGAAUACUAAGGGGCGCGAGGUAACUCUCUCCAAGGAACUCGGCAAAAUGACCCCGUAACUUAGGGAGAAGGGGUGCCACCGAGAGGUGGUCGCAGUGAAGAGGCCCAGGCGACUGUUUAGCAAAAACAUAGGUCUCUGCAAACUCGAAAGAGGAGGUAUAGGGGCUGACGCCUGCCCAGUGCCGGAAGGUUAAAAAAGUUGGUCAGUCUUAGGAUGAAGCUAGCGACUGAAGCCCCGGUGAACGGCGGCCGUAACUAUAACGGUCCUAAGGUAGCGAAAUUCCUUGUCGGGUAAGUUCCGACCCGCACGAAAGGCGUAACGAUCUGGGCGCUGUCUCGGAGAGAGGCUCGGCGAAAUAGGAUUGUCUGUGAAGAUACGGACUACCUGCAUUUGGACAGAAAGACCCUAUGAAGCUUUACUGUAGCUUGGAAUUGUGUUCGGGCUUCCUGUGCGCAGGAUAGGUGGGAGGCGAAGAAGGUAUUCUUGUGGGGAUACUGGAGCCAACGGUGAGAUACCACUCUCAGGAGGCUAGAAUUCUAACUUAAUUAAGGACAGUUUCAGGUGGGUAGUUUGACUGGGGCGGUCGCCUCCAAAAAGGUAACGGAGGCGUACAAAGGUUCCCUCAGACUGGUUGGAAAUCAGUCGCAGAGUGCAAAGGCAGAAGGGAGCUUGACUGCGAGAAGUACAGUUCGAGCAGGGUGGAAACACGGUCUUAGUGAUCCGACGGUGCUGUGUGGAAGGGCCGUCGCUCAACGGAUAAAAGUUACUCUAGGAUAACAGGCUGAUCUCCCCCAAGAGUUCACAUCGACGGGGAGGUUUGGCACCUCGAUGUCGGCUCAUCGCAACCUGGGGCGGAAGUACGUCCCAAGGGUUGGGCUGUUCGCCCAUUAAAGCGGUACGUGAGCUGGGUUCAGAACGUCGUGAGACAGUUCGGUCCAUAUCCGAUGUAGGCGUGAGAAUAUUGAGAGGAGCCUUCCUUAGUACGAGAGGACCGGGAAGGACGCACCGCUGGUGUACCUGUUAUGAUGCCAAUUGUAAACGCAGGGUAGCCAAGUGCGGAGAGGAUAACCGCUGAAAGCAUCUAAGUGGGAAGCCCACCUCAAGAUGAGUAUUCUGGUGUAAGGUCACGGGAAGACGACCCGUAAAUAGGCACGAGGUGGAAGUGCAGAGAUGUAUGAAGCCGAAGUGUACUAAUAGACCGUCGGCUUGACCG